Molecule: ribosomal RNA, 797 nt
Filed under: Trichodorus orientalis
Lineage: Eukaryota; Metazoa; Nematoda; Enoplea; Triplonchida; Trichodoridae
Description: eukaryotic LSU rRNA
Rfam family: Eukaryotic large subunit ribosomal RNA
Source: RNAcentral
ACAAGUACCGUGAGGGAAAGUUGAAAAGAACUUAGAGGUGAGAGUUCAACAGGGCGUAAAACCGCAUAGAAGUAAACGGUUGGUGCUGACAUUGUUUCUGCUGAAUUCAGCCGGUCUGACGGUUGACCGUUUGCAUGCCGAUCGCAAGACGGUGUGUAGAGUGUGCUCGAUCUAGGGCUGGUGCAUUUUCGGUAGAAUGCAUCAUGACCGCUGGCGCUGCUGGCAUAAGGCCGUUUGGUUGCCGUCUGUAGGUCUCCGGACUUGCAGUGCCCCACCAUUCGUGUCCUGUCCGAGUUGGCGUCAACGGGUAACUGGACGUGCCCGACAUGUCUCAUCUUCUGCUUUACGUUGGCUGAUCGAAUCGUUCGACCGUGCAUGCACGGUUGGGCAACCCCCAGUCUUCGUAGGGUAGCUGCUUGAGACGGCACUGAAGGUCUAUGGUGUCCGCGUCAGUCUCCCAACCGACCCGUCUUGAAACACGGACCAAGGAGUCUAACAUGUGCGCAAGUCAUGGGGUUGAAAACCCAAAGGCGUAAUGAAAGUAAAGGCCGCAAGGCUGAGGUGUGAUGGUCGGUUAUACCGGCUCGCAACACCGCCCCAUCGCAUCGGCUCGUCCGGGCGGUGGAGGAAGAGCGUACACGUUGGGACCCGAAAGAUGGUGAACUAUGCCUGAGCAGGAUGAAGCCAGAGGAAACUCUGGUGGAGGUCCGUAGCGGUUCUGACGUGCAAAUCGAUCGUCAGACUUGGGUAUAGGGGCGAAAGACUAAUCGAACCAUCUAGUAGCUGGUUCCUUCCGU